GUGACCUCAAAUCAGGUAGGACUACCCGCUGAACUUAAGCAUAUCAAUAAGCGGAGGAAAAGAAACUAACAAGGAUUCCCCUAGUAACUGCGAGUGAAGCGGGAAAAGCUCAAAUUUAAAAUCUGGCAGUNUUACUGUCCGAGUUGUAAUCUAGAGAAGCAUUAUCCGCGUUGGACCGUGUACAAGUCUCCUGGAAUGGAGCGUCAUAGAGGGUGAGAAUCCCGUCUUUGACACGGACUGCCAAGGCUUUUGUGAUGUGCUCUCAAAGAGUCGAGUUGUUUGGGAAUGCAGCUCAAAAUGGGUGGUAAAUUCCAUCUAAAGCUAAAUAUUGGCGAGAGACCGAUAGCGAACAAGUACCGUGAGGGAAAGAUGAAAAGAACUUUGGAAAGAGAGUUAAACAGUACGUGAAAUUGCUGAAAGGGAAACGCUUGAAGUCAGUCGCGUUGAUCAGAGAUCAACCUUGCUUUUGCUUGGUGUACUUUCUGGUUUGACGGGUCAGCAUCAAUUUUGAUCAUUGGAAAAAGGUCAAGGGAAUGUGGCAUCUUCGGAUGUGUUUAUAGCCCUUGGUUGUAUGCAAUGGUUGGGAUUGAGGAACUCAGCACGCCGCAAGGCCGGGUUUUAACCACGUACGUGCUAGGAUG
Molecule: ribosomal RNA, 641 nt
Filed under: Thaxterogaster causticus
Lineage: Eukaryota; Fungi; Basidiomycota; Agaricomycetes; Agaricales; Cortinariaceae
Description: eukaryotic LSU rRNA
Rfam family: Eukaryotic large subunit ribosomal RNA
Source: RNAcentral